Molecule: non-coding RNA, 1909 nt
Organism: Peromyscus maniculatus bairdii (prairie deer mouse)
Lineage: Eukaryota; Metazoa; Chordata; Mammalia; Rodentia; Cricetidae
Source: RefSeq, a predicted model, not a curated record
CUCACUCCAGGCAUUCAAGACUAAAAAAUCUGAUUAGCUCUUGCAUACCAAACACUCCUUUAUUUGGGGAGUUAAGUGGGGUGUAGGGAUUUUUGUGGAGAAAAUACCACUGAUUUCUUUCCCUGAAAAGCCCAGAAGAAAGGUUGUUCUUCCACACUGCCCAGGAGAACUAAAGCGAUCUCCUGGUGGAGUAAGUGCAGCGAUCUGAUCAGCAGUGUCCAGGUUUCUAUUUCAGCACAAGCGACAUCAAAAUGUCAUGGCUUCCAACAGCGUCAGUUGUGCUGGGUCUUAGGAUGAGUUUCAGGAGUCUGAGUGGGCUUUGCAGAGUGCUUCCUUUGCCCUCUGUUGUACUUGGAUUUUUCCUUGGGCCACCAGCUCACAGAAAAGAGAAAACUCAGAGCAGGCAGUCCCGAGAAGCAUCCUGAGCCGGGAUGUGGUGUCCUUUCCAUCCCCCCAGCCAUUGGGCAGCUACAGAAGUCGGGGGACUUCAGACUCUAAGUUAAACUUCAGCAAAGUACAGAAGAGGGAGUGAGUAAGCACAAGGAUGUGCUCAUGACAAUGGCGGAGAGAUGAGAGUUACAGUGACCACAUGCAAGUGCUUUUCCAUCCUUUGUCUUUCAACAUCUCCUUGGUCACCUCAAGACAGUUGGUCAUCUCAGAGCCAGAGGGGGUAGACACUCACAGGUUGCAAAGGGGGAUGGGAUGCAGGAAUGGAGGUUGAGCCGCAGAGACCUUGCAAACCAGACCAGCCUCUGCUUUCUUGGGAGAGGUGAAUGAAAAAGGAAAGAGUAAAUAGAAGAGCAUUUCGGAAUGGACUGCACAUCCUCAGAUGCAUCAUCUCAUUUCAUUCUUAGAAACCUUAAGCAGCCGGUAUUGCCUUCCUGAUUCUAUUUGCCACUGAACUGACUGAGGUGCAGAGAUCUAUGGGACUUGUUUUUGUUUGUGUUAGCUGAGUAACAGACCUGACCUGGAAACAAGGCCUCAUGAGCUCAAAGGCCCACAGACAGACACAUCACAGUCUUCCUUGCUUAUUCAGCAGUAUCCAUGUUACAAACCACUGCUGCUUUGGAAUGUGAUUAUCUGGGUAUCCAACUGUGAUAGUUAACAUAUUGUCAAUUUACUUGGAUCAACUAAAAGACCCACUUUCUAACUGAGGAGGAAGACCCUCCCUGAGGGUGGGCAGUGUGCUCCAGCAGCAACCCAGAUCAAGGGAUCUGAGGGAAGCCUGCCUUAGGUCCUUGCUGGUGUGCUGAUCUACCCUGUCAAUGCCACUGCUGCUACAAUACUUUGCUGACAUCAGAGCCCAGCUUCUUUGACCUUCCAAUGAGGACCAGAUAUUUUCUAGGAAUCCUCUGGGCCUUCAGUGACAGAUUGGGACUGCUGAGGAACCCAAGCUUGUGGACUAUGCAGUACUGGGUUCUCAGCCUCUCUACUAUGCAGGCAUCCACUGGCAGACUACUCAAAACAUAUUGUAUAAGCCAAUCUACUACUAAUUCCUCCCCCCACACCCCCUGACACUGUGGUAUGAUAAUCAUCAUAUUAACUCCGUUCCUUCCUAGAAUCUUGACUAACAUAACAUAUAACACCUGAAUUAGGAAUUGAAUAUGAAGAGGCAGGUAUCUUGCAUGAUAUUUUGUUGUUUAUCUUGUAGUUCAAAUUUAAUACUUAUUGAAUAAGUACAAGAGGCAUUUUGCUUCCAGUCCUCUUUUUAUUCCAUUUCCUUUUAAUAAUACAAAACAGAGCACAUUUCUACAUUCCUGGACAACCUUGGCUGUUAUAUUCUUGGGAAUAUAACAGGGAUAGUGAUUAAAAGACAAUAGCAUCAUGUUCUAGCAGUCAGAUAAUUUAGAAACUAGGAAUCUUGCUAACUUAAUAUUCAGUAUUAUUUCUCUCUCUCUCUCUCUCUCUC